RNAcentral lists this long non-coding RNA (533 nucleotides) under Hordeum vulgare. Its description in RNAcentral is "long non-coding RNA (HVUL_LNC012174)". The record is from RNAcentral. Lineage: Eukaryota; Viridiplantae; Streptophyta; Magnoliopsida; Poales; Poaceae.
AUAAGUAUAGAGGCAAACUUCUUGCCAUACUCUGGGUAGAUUAGUUGUAUCCUUUUGAAGCAUAGACUUUUGUAUGUGAAUCCCGCGCGCAGAUGGACCUUGCUAGGAUCAGUGCACUCCGACUUCGUUUCGAGCCUGUUCAACGACUUGAGCGGCCAAAGAGCGCCCUCAUCUUGUUUUGUACUCGUUCAACGUUUCGGACGGCUACGUAGCACCUUAUUUCGCCUCAAGCCGCGCUCUACGAUUUACAUGGUUGCACUGAGUGAGGCAAGGAGUCUUGCCUGUGACGACCUCCUCUGCCGAGUUUUCUGAGGAUCUGCUCCUCCAAGUACUCGCGGCAGGAUAAGUCAAGCCGGCAAGCAUCCGGAAGGUGCAAAGGAAUAAUCAUAUCAAAUGAGAGUCGAAUAAAGGAUGCAUCUAUUCAUUCAUUUGUCUGGAUACAUUUGGUACCUCUUGCAAAGCAAUGUUGUCCUAAAAUAAAGACUCUGUCUUUUGACGAGGAACAACAUAUGCGGAGGAAGUGAUUCAAAAAC